Erinaceus europaeus (western European hedgehog) is the source of this 352-nucleotide non-coding RNA. NCBI's taxonomy places the organism in Eukaryota, Metazoa, Chordata, Mammalia, Eulipotyphla, Erinaceidae. The record is from Rfam.
GAAUGUAAGGGCAAUCUGGCUGUGACAUUUGCAUUGAUCUGCAGGGAUGAUUUGGCUGGCUAGGGAGGUGUCCCCUUCCUCUCUCACCACUCAUGUGCAUUCCUCCCGAAGCUGUGUGCUCAGUUGAAGAGGACGGCCUUCCCCAAAUAGAGACGGAGCAGUCAAGGGUGUACAAAUAGCUGCGCUCCACUGCUAGAGCCUCCAACAAGCUUACAAAUAUAUUUUUCUACUAGCCUAAAGCUCCAAGCAAAGCAGUUCAGAAUGGUCCCUCAUAACCAAGGAGAUAAUGCCAACAGUAGAGUAACAGACUCAAACGCCUGAGGCACUGGAAGUCCCAGGUUCAGUCCUCAGC